This 433-nucleotide ribosomal RNA is filed under the name uncultured bacterium. RNAcentral's name for it is "partial 16S ribosomal RNA". It matches the Rfam family "Bacterial small subunit ribosomal RNA", at positions 29 to 507 of the family's 1533-position model. The record is from RNAcentral.
AAUGAACGUUGGCGGCAUGCCUAACACAUGCAAGUCGAACGAAGGCUUCGGCCUUAGUGGCGCACGGGUGCGUAACGCGUGGGAAUCUGCCCUUGGGUUCGGAAUAACAGUUAGAAAUGACUGCUAAUACCGGAUGAUGUCGUAAGACCAAAGAUUUAUCGCCCAAGGAUGAGCCCGCGUAGGAUUAGCUAGUUGGUGGGGUAAAGGCCUACCAAGGCGACGAUCCUUAGCUGGUCUGAGAGGAUGAUCAGCCACACUGGGACUGAGACACGGCCCAGACUCCUACGGGAGGCAGCAGUGGGGAAUAUUGGACAAUGGGCGAAAGCCUGAUCCAGCAAUGCCGCGUGAGUGAUGAAGGCCUUAGGGUUGUAAAGCUCUUUUACCCGGGAUGAUAAUGACAGUACCGGGAGAAUAAGCUCCGGCUAACUUCGUG